UUUGCAACUUUUACAAUAGCCCAAUUCAACAACUCUCUAAUAUGGCCGUCAAAUCGAAUUCCAACUAACACAUUUCUCUUUUCUGAUUCUUUUUCCUUCUCAAAAAUCAUCUUGUUGACGGGUCAAAUCGAAUUCCAACCAACACAUUUCUCUUUUCUGAUUCUUUUUCCUUCUCAAAAAUCAUCUUGUUGACGGCCAAUAAUGUAAUUUUUUUUAUUGCCUGACCAUACCAGAGAAAUUUUUGAUAAAUUUAUACCAAUUGCAGUAACCCAGAAAAAAGGGAAUGCUCCAGCUGACAAGACAAAGGAAGUGUAUAGCAAGACACUGGUCCAGAAUAUAAGCUUUGAUCUGAAUAGUCAAAAGCAAAAU
Molecule: long non-coding RNA, 369 nt
Filed under: Nicotiana benthamiana
Lineage: Eukaryota; Viridiplantae; Streptophyta; Magnoliopsida; Solanales; Solanaceae
Description: long non-coding RNA (NBEN_LNC011975)
Source: RNAcentral